RNAcentral lists this ribosomal RNA (399 nucleotides) under uncultured Aurantimonas sp. RNAcentral describes it as "bacterial SSU rRNA". It matches the Rfam family "Bacterial small subunit ribosomal RNA", at positions 358 to 774 of the family's 1533-position model. Lineage: Bacteria; Pseudomonadati; Pseudomonadota; Alphaproteobacteria; Hyphomicrobiales; Aurantimonadaceae. The record is from RNAcentral.
GGAAUAUUGGACAAUGGGCGCAAGCCUGAUCCAGCCAUGCCGCGUGAGUGAUGAAGGUCUUAGGAUUGUAAAGCUCUUUCAGUGGGGACGAUAAUGACGGUACCCACAGAAGAAGCCCCGGCUAACUUCGUGCCAGCAGCCGCGGUAAUACGAAGGGGGCUAGCGUUGUUCGGAAUUACUGGGCGUAAAGCGCACGUAGGCGGAUAUUUAAGUCGGGGGUGAAAUCCCGGGGCUCAACCCCGGAACUGCCUUCGAUACUGGGUAUCUUGAGUUCGGAAGAGGUGAGUGGAAUUGCGAGUGUAGAGGUGAAAUUCGUAGAUAUUCGCAGGAACACCAGUGGCGAAGGCGGCUCACUGGUCCGAUACUGACGCUGAGGUGCGAAAGCGUGGGGAGCAAACA